UACGGAGGAUCCAAGCGUUAUCCGGAAUCAUUGGGUUUAAAGGGUCCGUAGGCGGUUUGGUAAGUCAGUGGUGAAAGCCCAUCGCUCAACGGUGGAACGGCCAUUGAUACUGCCAGACUUGAAUUAUUAGGAAGUAACUAGAAUAUGUAGUGAUAGCGGUGAAAUGCUUAGAGAUUACAUGGAAUACCAAUUGCGAAGGCAGGUUACUACUAAUGGAUUGACGCUGAUGGACGAAAGCGUGGGUAGCGAACAGG
RNAcentral lists this ribosomal RNA (254 nucleotides) under uncultured bacterium. RNAcentral's name for it is "partial 16S ribosomal RNA". It matches the Rfam family "Bacterial small subunit ribosomal RNA", at positions 524 to 776 of the family's 1533-position model. The record is from RNAcentral.